This 370-nucleotide unclassified non-coding RNA is filed under the name Hevea brasiliensis (rubber tree). The record is from RNAcentral. Lineage: Eukaryota; Viridiplantae; Streptophyta; Magnoliopsida; Malpighiales; Euphorbiaceae.
AAGAAAAAAAAAUGUAACAGUAUGAAUCACCUCCUUAAUCAUGCAUUUUAAGAUAGCUUUCGUUGCAGAAGAGGAAAAAAAAGGGGUACUGAGUGAAAAACACGAUCGAAGAGAUUCAAACUUGCUAUCUUACUUUCCCCUUUCAACAAGUUUUCUCGGCACCAAAACAGUAAAGGAAAAAACCAGUCGCAGUGCAAGAGAAAAGCAAGAUACAUCAAGAAUCAAGUACACGUGUGCAUCCUCAGAUCAGAAACAGAGGAAUAGCAUACAGGGCCAAAGGAAAUGUAGACAAAUUUCGAAGAAAUCGAUGAGAACAAAGGAAAAACGGAGAGAGCAUAUACCUGUAUGUGUGGUGGUGAUAGGAAGAAGA